GUAGGGGGCUAGCGUUGUCCGGAAUCAUUGGGCGUAAAGCGCGCGUAGGCGGCCCGGUAAGUCCGCUCUGAAAGUCCAGGGCUCAACCCUGGAAAGCGGGUGGAUACUGCCGGGCUAGAGUCCGGAAGAGGCGAGUGGAAUUCCUGGUGUAGCGGUGGAAUGCGCAGAUAUCAGGAGGAACACCAAUAGCGAAGGCAGCUCGCUGGGACGGUACUGACGCUGAGGCGCGAAAGCGUGGGGAGCGAACAGGAUUAGAUACCCUGGUAGUCCACGCCGUAAACGAUGGGCACUAGGUGUGGGAGGUGUCGACUCCUUCCGCGCCGACGCUAACGCAUUAAGUGCCCCGCCUGGGGAGUACGGCCGCAAGGCUAAA
Molecule: ribosomal RNA, 373 nt
Filed under: uncultured bacterium
Lineage: Bacteria
Description: bacterial SSU rRNA
Rfam family: Bacterial small subunit ribosomal RNA
Source: RNAcentral